Molecule: non-coding RNA, 31 nt
Filed under: Mus musculus (house mouse)
Lineage: Eukaryota; Metazoa; Chordata; Mammalia; Rodentia; Muridae
Source: RNAcentral
UGACAAUUUGCAGUGUGCACCCUGCCCACCU